Molecule: transfer RNA, 72 nt
Filed under: Chamira circaeoides
Lineage: Eukaryota; Viridiplantae; Streptophyta; Magnoliopsida; Brassicales; Brassicaceae
Description: tRNA-Gln
Rfam family: tRNA
About the family: Transfer RNA (tRNA) molecules are approximately 80 nucleotides in length.
Source: RNAcentral
UGGGGCGUAGCCAAGCGGUAAGGCAACGGGUUUUGGUCCCGCUAUGCGGAGGUUCGAAUCCUUCCGUCCCAG